RNAcentral lists this ribosomal RNA (305 nucleotides) under uncultured bacterium. Its description in RNAcentral is "bacterial SSU rRNA". It matches the Rfam family "Bacterial small subunit ribosomal RNA", at positions 338 to 641 of the family's 1533-position model. The record is from RNAcentral.
CCUACGGGGGGCAGCAGUGAGGAAUAUUGGUCAAUGGGCGGGAGCCUGAACCAGCCAAGUCGCGUGAAGGAAGAAGGUACUUAGUAUUGUAAACUUCUUUUGUCGGGGAACAAAGGCGGAGACGCGUCUCCGGAUGAGUGUACCCGAAGAAAAAGCAUCGGCUAACUCCGUGCCAGCAGCCGCGGUAAUACGGAGGAUGCGAGCGUUAUCCGGAUUUAUUGGGUUUAAAGGGUGCGUAGGCGGUCCGUUAAGUCAGCGGUAAAAUUGCGGGGCUCAACCCCGUCGAGCCGUUGAAACUGGCAGAC